GGGGUUGUAGCUCAGCUGGGAGAGCGCUACAAUGGCAUUGUAGAGGUCGUCGGUUCGAUCCCGAUCAGCUCCACCA
RNAcentral lists this transfer RNA (76 nucleotides) under Alphaproteobacteria bacterium. RNAcentral's name for it is "tRNA-Ala". It matches the Rfam family "tRNA". Rfam says of the family: Transfer RNA (tRNA) molecules are approximately 80 nucleotides in length. Lineage: Bacteria; Pseudomonadati; Pseudomonadota; Alphaproteobacteria. The record is from RNAcentral.